RNAcentral lists this small nucleolar RNA (132 nucleotides) under Dasypus novemcinctus (nine-banded armadillo). Its description in RNAcentral is "Small nucleolar RNA SNORA31 (ENSDNOG00000042793.1)". It matches the Rfam family "Small nucleolar RNA SNORA31". Rfam says of the family: ACA31 (SNORA31) belongs to the H/ACA class of snoRNAs which are thought to guide the sites of modification of uridines to pseudouridines. ACA31 is predicted to guide the pseudouridylation of U3713 in 28S rRNA and U218 in 18S rRNA. The record is from RNAcentral. Lineage: Eukaryota; Metazoa; Chordata; Mammalia; Cingulata; Dasypodidae.
AGGCAUCUCUGACAGACCUGGAGUAGUUAAUGUCUGUUGCUAAGGUUUCCACUACAGAUGCAAAAAAGAGAAGGUCCUUAUGCUUUCUGUCUGUUUGGUUGUAGCAGCCAAGAUUGAAUGGGGAAUAUAGGA